RNAcentral lists this long non-coding RNA (205 nucleotides) under Vigna radiata. RNAcentral describes it as "long non-coding RNA (VRAD_LNC004941)". Lineage: Eukaryota; Viridiplantae; Streptophyta; Magnoliopsida; Fabales; Fabaceae. The record is from RNAcentral.
AAACAAUGAUAAAAAGUAUAAAAUUAUCAUUUUGUGUGCAAAUGGGACAGAGCAGAUAGUUGCCCAAUGAAAAAUUUUAAUACGGAAAAGCUUAACAAUAUUGUAAGACUAAGUCAAAAUAUCAUCAGGAUAGUAGAAAAAGAGUAUUAUCAUAUAUAAAUGGUAUUGAACAAUAUGGUUCAUGACUUAUGCAAUUAAGCUGCCG